GUCCACACAGUAAACGAUGAAUACUCGCUGUUUGCGAUAUACAGUAAGCGGCCAAGCGAAAGCAUUAAGUAUUCCACCUGGGGAGUACGCCGGCAACGGUGAAACUCAAAGGAAUUGACGGGGGCCCCGCACAAGCGGAGGAACAUGUGGUUUAAUUCGAUGAUACGCGAGGAACCUUACCCGGGCUUGAAUUGCAGAGGAACAUAGUUGAAAGAUUAUGGCCGCAAGGUCUCUGUGAAGGUGCUGCAUGGUUGUCGU
This 258-nucleotide ribosomal RNA is filed under the name uncultured bacterium. Its description in RNAcentral is "partial 16S ribosomal RNA". It matches the Rfam family "Bacterial small subunit ribosomal RNA", at positions 793 to 1055 of the family's 1533-position model. The record is from RNAcentral.